This 91-nucleotide transfer RNA is filed under the name Oceanisphaera avium. Its description in RNAcentral is "tRNA-Ser". It matches the Rfam family "tRNA". Rfam says of the family: Transfer RNA (tRNA) molecules are approximately 80 nucleotides in length. Their secondary structure includes four short double-helical elements and three loops (D, anti-codon, and T loops). Further hydrogen bonds mediate the characteristic L-shaped molecular structure. tRNAs have two regions of fundamental functional importance: the anti-codon, which is responsible for specific mRNA codon recognition, and the 3' end, to which the tRNAs corresponding amino acid is attached (by aminoacyl-tRNA synthetases). tRNAs cope with the degeneracy of the genetic code in two manners: having more than one tRNA (with a specific anti-codon) for a particular amino acid; and 'wobble' base-pairing, i.e. permitting non-standard base-pairing at the 3rd anti-codon position. Lineage: Bacteria; Pseudomonadati; Pseudomonadota; Gammaproteobacteria; Aeromonadales; Aeromonadaceae. The record is from RNAcentral.
GGUGAGGUGGCCGAGUGGCUGAAGGCGCUCCCCUGCUAAGGGAGUAUGCGUUUAUACCGCAUCGAGGGUUCGAAUCCCUCCCUCACCGCCA